GUGCCAGCAGCCGCGGUAAUACAGAGGGUGCAAGCGUUAUUCGGAAUUAUUGGGCAUAAAGCGCAUGUAGGUGGUUUGAUAAGUCUGAUGUGAAAUCCCCGGACUCAAUUCGGGAAGUGCAUUGGAUACUGUCAGGCUAGAGUAUGGGAGAGGUGAGCGGAAUUCCAGGUGUAGAGGUGAAAUUCGUAGAUAUCUGGAGGAACAACAGAGGCGAAGGCGGCUCACUGGACCAUUACUGACACUGAGAUGCGAAAGCGUGGGGAGCAAACAGGAUUAGAAACCCCCGUAGUCC
Molecule: ribosomal RNA, 292 nt
Filed under: uncultured bacterium
Lineage: Bacteria
Description: partial 16S ribosomal RNA
Rfam family: Bacterial small subunit ribosomal RNA
Source: RNAcentral